Molecule: ribosomal RNA, 1277 nt
Filed under: uncultured Coxiella sp.
Lineage: Bacteria; Pseudomonadati; Pseudomonadota; Gammaproteobacteria; Legionellales; Coxiellaceae
Description: bacterial SSU rRNA
Rfam family: Bacterial small subunit ribosomal RNA
Source: RNAcentral
GGGAUAACCUGGGGAAACUCGGGCUAAUACCGCAUAAUCUCUUUGGAGCAAAGCGGGGGAUCUUCGGACCUCGUGCUAUAAGAUGAGCCUACGUCGGAUUAGCUUGUUGGUGGGGUAAUGGCCUACCAAGGCGACGAUCCGUAGCUGGUCUGAGAGGACGAUCAGCCACACUGGGACUGAGACACGGCCCAGACUCCUACGGGAGGCAGCAGUGGGGAAUAUUGGACAAUGGGGGAAACCCUGAUCCAGCAAUGCCGCGUGUGUGAAGAAGGCCUUCGGGUUGUAAAGCACUUUCGGUGGGGAAGAAAUUCUCAAGGGUAAUAUCCUUGGGCGUUGACGUUACCCACAGAAGAAGCACUGGCUAACUCUGUGCCAGCAGCCGCGGUAAUACAGAGAGUGCAAGCGUUAAUCGGAAUCACUGGGCGUAAAGCGCGCGUAGGUGGAUAUUUAAGUCGGAUGUGAAAGCCCUGGGCUUAACCUGGGAAUUGCACCCGAUACUGGGUAUCUUGAGUAUGGUAGAGGGAAGUGGAAUUUCCGGUGUAGCGGUGAAAUGCGUAGAUAUCGGAAAGAACACCAGUGGCGAAGGCGACUUCCUGGACCAAUACUGACACUGAGGCGCGAAAGCGUGGGGAGCAAACAGGAUUAGAGACCCUGGUAGUCCACGCCGUCAACGAUGAGAACCUAGCUGUUGGGGAGUUCCCUUCUUAGUAGCGAAGCUAACGCGUUAAGUUCUCCGCCUGGGGAGUACGGCCGCAAGGUUAAAACUCAAAGAAAUUGACGGGGGCCCGCACAAGCGGUGGAGCAUGUGGUUUAAUUCGAUGCAACGCGAAAAACCUUACCUACCCUUGACAUCCUCGGAACUUGUCAGAGAUGAUUUGGUGCCUUCGGGAACCGAGUGACAGGUGCUGCAUGGCUGUCGUCAGCUCGUGUCGUGAGAUGUUGGGUUAAGUCCCGUAACGAGCGCAACCCUCGUCCUUAGUUGCCAGCGAGUCAAGUCGGGAACUCUAAGGAGACUGCCGGUGAUAAACCGGAGGAAGGUGGGGAUGAUGUCAAGUCAUCAUGGCCCUUACGGGUAGGGCUACACACGUGCUACAAUGGGCAGUACAAAGGGUUGCCAAGCCGCGAGGUGGAGCUAAUCCCAGAAAACUGCUCGUAGUCCGGAUUGGAGUCUGCAACUCGACUCCAUGAAGUUGGAAUCGCUAGUAAUCGCGAAUCAGCAUGUCGCGGUGAAUACGUUCUCGGGCCUUGUACACACCGCCCGUCACACCAUGGGAGUG